AAUUUUUUAUUAAAAACAGAAUCAUAGUUCACGUACUACAUAGAUCAAAAUAACACGAGUUACAUAGAAACUUGAUGAAACAAGUAGCAUCGGCACUAAGGACUAAAUUAACAAAUGAGUUGUCUUGGCCCCCAAACAUAUUUGUAUAGCUUCCGUCUUCAUUAAAGGAAGGAACAUUUUUUUGUCGUCUCUUCUCCUAAUUUCUUGAAGGCGACUAAAUUUGUUGUAACGCUUCUUUGUCCAUCGCGGUUUUCUUGAAAGGUCACUUGCAUAUUAUCCUGUCAAAAGCUAGUAUAGGAUUAAAAUUUACCACAAACUCGUAAACAGAUCAAAAGAAGAUGGCAUGUUGUGAUUAUAAGGCUAGUAGUGACUUGCUAUAUCGUGCAUGUGCGGCUAACAUACUUAUAGACACAUUACAACUAUCAGCACAUAUAUAAAUCCAUGCAGAUCCAUUACUUGCGAGCAAGAGCAAUUUUUGUUUAUUUACAGUGGGAAGACAGAGAGGGGAGGUGAGCAAUUUCACUGGUACCUAUUAGCAUCUAGAGAGAAUGACAACUGUUUCAGAUUAUGCUCGAUUCUGGCAUGAGCGUUACUCCACCUGCAAAACAAUAAUCGAUUGGCUGAUGAGGGGUAAUCACACAGGGAACAAACUUGUCGCCUAUGUAGCACUUUGGCACACACGAAACAAUGCAGAAUCGUGUACGGUGUGGAUUGUAACAAUCCAAAAUUUUGCAACAACGUUUCAAAAAAUAUAUUUGGAACAACAUGGUUGAGGAGGAAGAUGGAGUCGCAACUAUCGUGCGUUGUUGGAACCCGAUGGAGGGAGUGCCGCAUUGUUUAUCCUGUGUAGAGAGGAAUGAUGUUAGAUCGGCAUCCUGUGAAUCGGAGGCAAAGACGAACCAGAGGCGGCGGGAAUAGGGCUUACUUGGAGAGACAGAAAAACAAGACGGCGGCUGGAUCGUCGAUGCCUCAUAGUUCUCUGCUAUGACUGGCACUCGUACCACGAGUGAGAUAAGGGAAAAGUGGAUCUGGACUGGCAAGAAAGACGGUGUGGCGGUGGCGGUGUUCGUGACAGCCAGAUCCGUGUGGCAUCUGGUCCUCCUGAAGUGUGGAGGCGUUGGUGGCGUCGAGUCCCAUGGCGAUCUGGCCGGGCGGCAAUGACAUCCGGGGCGGUCAGAUCGGUUGUGAGGUCGAAGGUGGAUGAACGCCCUGUCAGCGGCCUUCGCAACUUGCAGGAAGGGGGGCGAGUUUGAGGCGCUGGAGUGAACGAGGGAUAAUGUGGAGAGGUGGCCAGGUAUGUCGCUCGCAGCCGAGGAUGACGCCGGUGCUGCCAGAUCCAGAUUUCAGCACGGUGGUGGCGUCGUCUAAUCUACUAGUGCUAUAUAGCGAUUUGGCUUUGUAUAUCCAGAGAAGAGACGUGGAUCGUGG
Molecule: long non-coding RNA, 1428 nt
Filed under: Triticum aestivum (bread wheat)
Lineage: Eukaryota; Viridiplantae; Streptophyta; Magnoliopsida; Poales; Poaceae
Description: long non-coding RNA (TAES_LNC011636)
Source: RNAcentral